GUAGCCAUAGUUCUAAGAAUUUAAGCUUGCAAAGUUUAAGGUCAGGUUAUU
Molecule: transfer RNA, 51 nt
Filed under: Acanthogyrus cheni
Lineage: Eukaryota; Metazoa; Acanthocephala; Eoacanthocephala; Gyracanthocephala; Quadrigyridae
Description: tRNA-Cys
Source: RNAcentral